RNAcentral lists this ribosomal RNA (499 nucleotides) under uncultured bacterium. RNAcentral describes it as "partial 16S ribosomal RNA". It matches the Rfam family "Bacterial small subunit ribosomal RNA", at positions 28 to 507 of the family's 1533-position model. The record is from RNAcentral.
GACGAACGCUGGCGGCGUGCCUAAUACAUGCGAGUCGAGCGAAGUUUUUCUGGUGCUUGCACUAGAAAAACUUAGCGGCGAACGGGUGAGUAACACGUAAAGAACCUGCCUCAUAGACUGGGACAACUAUUGGAAACGAUAGCUAAUACCGGAUAACAGUAUUUCUCGCAUGAGAGAUAUUUAAAAGUUGGUUAUGCUAACACUAUGAGAUGGCUUUGCGGUGCAUUAGCUAGUUGGUGGGGUAAAGGCCCACCAAGGCGACGAUGCAUAGCCGACCUGAGAGGGUGAUCGGCGACACUGGGACUGAGACACGGCCCAGACUCCUACGGGAGGCAGCAGUAGGGAAUCUUCCGCAAUGGGCGAAAGCCUGACGGAGCAACGCCGCGUGAGUGAAGAAGGAUUUCGGUUCGUAAAGCUCUGUUGUUAGGGAAGAAUGGAUAUGUAGUAACUAUACAUGUAAGAGACGGUACCUAACCAGAAAGCCACGGCUAACUACGUG